This 540-nucleotide ribosomal RNA is filed under the name uncultured archaeon. Its description in RNAcentral is "bacterial SSU rRNA". It matches the Rfam family "Archaeal small subunit ribosomal RNA", at positions 457 to 997 of the family's 1478-position model. The record is from RNAcentral.
GGCAGCAGCCGCGGAACACCGGCGGCCCGAGUGGUGAUCGUGAUUAUUGGGUCUAAAGGGUCCGUAGCCGGUUGGUCAGUCCUCCGGGAAAUCUGAUAGCUCAACUAUUAGGCUUUCGGGGGAUACUGCCAGACUUGGAACCGGGAGAGGUAAGAGGUACUACAGGGGUAGGAGUGAAAUCUUGUAAUCCCUGUGGGACCACCUGUGGCGAAGGCGUCUUACCAGAACGGGUUCGACGGUGAGGGACGAAAGCUGGGGGCACGAACCGGAUUAGAUACCCGGGUAGUCCCAGCCGUAAACGAUGCUCGCUAGGUGUCAGGCAUGGCGCGACCGUGUCUGGUGCCGCAGGGAAGCCGUGAAGCGAGCCACCUGGGAAGUACGGCCGCAAGGCUGAAACUUAAAGGAAUUGGCGGGGGAGCACAACAACGGGUGGAAGCCUGCGGUUUAAUUGGACUCAACGCCGGACAACUCACCGGGGGCGACAGCAAUAUGUAGGCCAAGCUGAAGACUUUGCCUGAAUCGCUGAGAAGUGGUGCAUGG